ACGGGUGAGUAAUGUCUGGGAAACUGCCCGAUGGAGGGGGAUAACUACUGGAAACGGUAGCUAAUACCGCAUAACGUCGCAAGACCAAAGUGGGGGACCUUCGGGCCUCACACCAUCGGAUGUGCCCAGAUGGGAUUAGCUAGUAGGUGGGGUAAUGGCUCGCCUAGGCGACGAUCCCUAGCUGGUCUGAGAGGAUGACCAGCCACACUGGAACUGAGACACGGUCCAGACUCCUACGGGAGGCAGCAGUGGGGAAUAUUGCACAAUGGGCGCAAGCCUGAUGCAGCCAUGCCGCGUGUAUGAAGAAGGCCUUCGGGUUGUAAAGUACUUUCAGCGGGGAGGAAGGCGGUGGAGUUAAUAGCUUCACCGAUUGACGUUACCCGCAGAAGAAGCACCGGCUAACUCCGUGCCAGCAGCCGCGGUAAUACGGAGGGUGCAAGCGUUAAUCGGAAUUACUGGGCGUAAAGCGCACGCAGGCGGUCUGUCAAGUCGGAAGUGAAAUCCCCGGGCUUAACCUGGGAACUGCAUUCGAAACUGGCAGGCUAGAGUCUUGUAGAGGGGGGUAGAAUUCCAGGUGUAGCGG
This 583-nucleotide ribosomal RNA is filed under the name uncultured bacterium. RNAcentral describes it as "bacterial SSU rRNA". It matches the Rfam family "Bacterial small subunit ribosomal RNA", at positions 102 to 681 of the family's 1533-position model. The record is from RNAcentral.